Molecule: transfer RNA, 72 nt
Filed under: Bos taurus (domestic cattle)
Lineage: Eukaryota; Metazoa; Chordata; Mammalia; Artiodactyla; Bovidae
Also listed under: 5 other names
Rfam family: tRNA
About the family: Transfer RNA (tRNA) molecules are approximately 80 nucleotides in length. Their secondary structure includes four short double-helical elements and three loops (D, anti-codon, and T loops). Further hydrogen bonds mediate the characteristic L-shaped molecular structure. tRNAs have two regions of fundamental functional importance: the anti-codon, which is responsible for specific mRNA codon recognition, and the 3' end, to which the tRNAs corresponding amino acid is attached (by aminoacyl-tRNA synthetases). tRNAs cope with the degeneracy of the genetic code in two manners: having more than one tRNA (with a specific anti-codon) for a particular amino acid; and 'wobble' base-pairing, i.e. permitting non-standard base-pairing at the 3rd anti-codon position.
Source: Rfam by way of RNAcentral
UCCCUGGUGGCUCAGACGGUAAAGCAUCUGCCUGCAAUGCGGGAGACCCGGGUUUGAUCCCUGGGUUGGGAA